GAUGAACGCUGGCGGCGUGCCUAAUACAUGCAAGUCGAGCGAACAGACGAGGAUCUUGCUCCUCUGACGUUAGCGGCGGACGGGUGAGUAACACGUGUAUCACCUACCUAUAAGACUGGUAUAACUUCGGGAAACCGGCUCUAAUACCGGAUAAUAUAUUGAACCGCAUGGUUCAAUAGUGAAAUACGGUUGUUCUGUCACUUAUCGAUGCAACCGCGCCGCAUUAGCGAGUUGUUAGUGUAACGGCUUACCACGGGAACGAUGCCUAGCCGACCUGAGGGGGGGAUGCGGCACUGUGGAGCUGACAGGCGGCACAGGGUCCUAGGGGAGGCAGCGGUAGGGAAUGUAGCGAAAUGGGCGAAAGCCUGACGGAGGAACGCCGCGUGAGUGAUGAAAGUCUUCGGAUCGUAAAACGCUGUUAUUAGGGAAGAACAAAUGUGUAAGUAACUAUGCACGUCUGGACGGUACCUAAAAAGAAGGCCACGGCUAACUCCUU
Molecule: ribosomal RNA, 496 nt
Filed under: uncultured bacterium
Lineage: Bacteria
Description: partial 16S ribosomal RNA
Rfam family: Bacterial small subunit ribosomal RNA
Source: RNAcentral